Molecule: ribosomal RNA, 765 nt
Filed under: uncultured Streptococcus sp.
Lineage: Bacteria; Bacillati; Bacillota; Bacilli; Lactobacillales; Streptococcaceae
Description: bacterial SSU rRNA
Rfam family: Bacterial small subunit ribosomal RNA
Source: RNAcentral
GACGAACGCUGGCGGCGUGCCUAAUACAUGCAAGUAGAACGCUGAAGAGAGGAGCUUGCUCUUCUUGGAAGAGUUGCGAACGGGUGAGUAACGCGUAGGUAACCUGCCUUGUAGCGGGGGAUAACUAUUGGAAACGAUAGCUAAUACCGCAUAACAAUGGGUGACCCAUGUCAUUUAUUUGAAAGGGGCAAAUGCUCCACUACAAGAUGGACCUGCGUUGUAUUAGCUAGUAGGUGAGGUAACGGCUCACCUAGGCGACGAUACAUAGCCGACCUGAGAGGGUGAUCGGCCACACUGGGACUGAGACACGGCCCAGACUCCUACGGGAGGCAGCAGUAGGGAAUCUUCGGCAAUGGGGGCAACCCUGACCGAGCAACGCCGCGUGAGUGAAGAAGGUUUUCGGAUCGUAAAGCUCUGUUGUAAGUCAAGAACGAGUGUGAGAGUGGAAAGUUCACACUGUGACGGUAGCUUACCAGAAAGGGACGGCUAACUACGUGCCAGCAGCCGCGGUAAUACGUAGGUUCCGAGCGUUGUCCGGAUUUAUUGGGCGUAAAGCGAGCGCGGGCGGUUUGAUAAGUCUGAAGUUAAAGGCUGUGGCUCAACCAUAGUUCGCUUUGGAAACUGUCAAACUUGAGUGCAGAAGGGGAGAGUGGAAUUCCAUGUGUAGCGGUGAAAUGCGUAGAUAUAUGGAGGAACACCGGUGGCGAAAGCGGCUCUCUGGUCUGUAACUGACGCUGAGGCUCGAAAGCGUGGGGAGCGAACAGG